This 546-nucleotide long non-coding RNA is filed under the name Drosophila guanche. The record is from RNAcentral. Lineage: Eukaryota; Metazoa; Arthropoda; Insecta; Diptera; Drosophilidae.
AGUGUGAGCGAUGAAAACAGCGUUGGCGCAGCACAGCUCAUUGAUCAGACGAUGAACAUCAGAUAGCAGACUGCAGCUCCAGCUCGAAAACAUCAUCACAUCCGUUCUUGUGAACUCCUCUCUCGAGUUCGAAGUAUCGGCAUUGUGGAUGGUUCAGCAGCACAGCAGGUUCAGGACAGCCCAAUAGAUGCUGCCCAGGAAAGCGGCAGUGACCCUCCUUCUAGAGCGAAUAGAGAAAGGCCACAGUCUGAAUGGUCUUGCCGAGGCCCAUCUCAUCGGCUAGAAUGGUGUCGAUGGCCUGUCGAGGCUCUUCAGGUACUUUAUCCGAUUUUGAGAUAUUUUAAUUAGUAUUGAUUCAAGUUCAUCCCACCGUAGUGUGAGCGAUGAAAACAGCGUUGGCGCAGCACAGCUCAUUGAUCAGACGAUGAAAAUCAGAUAGCAGGCUGCAGCUCGAGCUCGAAAACAUCAUCACUUCCGAUCUUGUGAACCAAGUACCAAGCGGAUGCUGCCGCAGACAGUCGUCAUUUUGGUCAUCCAUCCAGGUGG